Glycine max (soybean) is the source of this 125-nucleotide non-coding RNA. The record is from Rfam. NCBI's taxonomy places the organism in Eukaryota, Viridiplantae, Streptophyta, Magnoliopsida, Fabales, Fabaceae.
AUAACGUUUGAUUAUCACAAAGCAAACUAUUCUUUCGCCUUUUACUAAAGAAUAUCGAGUACUUGUCACUUGGAAGGUAUUUAUGCAAAUGUAUCACUUCUGCUGAUAACAACAUUUUUGUUGAA